UACGGAGGGGGCUAGCGUUGUUCGGAAUUACUGGGCGUAAAGCGUGCGUAGACGGUUAUUUAAGUCGGGUGUGAAAGCCCCGGGCUCAACCUGGGAAUUGCAUUCGAGACUGAAUAGCUAGGGUACGGUAGAGGGAAGUGGAAUUUCCGGUGUAGCGGUGAAAUGCGUAGAUAUCGGAAGGAACAUCAGUGGCGAAAGCGACUUCCUGGACCAGUACCGACGUUCAGGCACGAAAGCGUGGGGAGCAAACAGG
RNAcentral lists this ribosomal RNA (253 nucleotides) under uncultured bacterium. Its description in RNAcentral is "partial 16S ribosomal RNA". It matches the Rfam family "Bacterial small subunit ribosomal RNA", at positions 524 to 776 of the family's 1533-position model. The record is from RNAcentral.